RNAcentral lists this ribosomal RNA (925 nucleotides) under uncultured Bacteroidota bacterium. RNAcentral's name for it is "bacterial SSU rRNA". It matches the Rfam family "Bacterial small subunit ribosomal RNA", at positions 1 to 916 of the family's 1533-position model. Lineage: Bacteria; Pseudomonadati; Bacteroidota. The record is from RNAcentral.
UGGAUCCAGACUUUGAUCAUGGCUCAGGAUGAACGCUAGCUACAGGCUUAACACAUGCAAGUCGAGGGGAAACGACAUCGAAAGCUUGCUUUUGAUGGGCGUCGACCGGCGCACGGGUGAGUAACGCGUAUCCAACCUGCCCACCACUUGGGGAUAACCUUGCGAAAGUAAGACUAAUACCCAAUGAUAUCUCUAGAAGACAUCUGAAGGAGAUUAAAGAUUUAUCGGUGAUGGAUGGGGAUGCGUCUGAUUAGCUUGUUGGCGGGGUAACGGCCCACCAAGGCUACGAUCAGUAGGGGUUCUGAGAGGAAGGUCCCCCACAUUGGAACUGAGACACGGUCCAAACUCCUACGGGAGGCAGCAGUGAGGAAUAUUGGUCAAUGGGCGAGAGCCUGAACCAGCCAAGUAGCGUGCAGGAUGACGGCCCUAUGGGUUGUAAACUGCUUUUAUAAGGGAAUAAAGUGAGCCUCGUGAGGCUUUUUGCAUGUACCUUAUGAAUAAGGACCGGCUAAUUCCGUGCCAGCAGCCGCGGUAAUACGGAAGGUCCGGGCGUUAUCCGGAUUUAUUGGGUUUAAAGGGAGCGUAGGCCGGAGAUUAAGCGUGUUGUGAAAUGUAGAUGCUCAACAUCUGCACUGCAGCGCGAACUGGUUUCCUUGAGUACGCACAAAGUGGGCGGAAUUCGUGGUGUAGCGGUGAAAUGCUCAGAUAUCACGAAGAACUCCGAUUGCGAAGGCAGCUCACUGGAGCGCAACUGACGCUGAAGCUCGAAAGUGCGGGUAUCGAACAGGAUUAGAUACCCUGGUAGUCCGCACGGUAAACGAUGGAUGCCCGCCGUUGGUCUGAAUAGGUCAGCGGCCAAGCGAAAGCAUUAAGCAUCCCACCUGGGGAGUACGCCGGCAACGGUGCAACUCAAAUGAAUUGACGA